RNAcentral lists this ribosomal RNA (468 nucleotides) under uncultured bacterium. RNAcentral's name for it is "partial 16S ribosomal RNA". It matches the Rfam family "Bacterial small subunit ribosomal RNA", at positions 28 to 507 of the family's 1533-position model. The record is from RNAcentral.
GACGAACGCUGGCGGCGGGCUUAACACAUGCAAGUCGAACGGAAAGGCCCUGCUUUUUUGCGGUGCUCGAGUGGCGAACGGGUGAGUAACACGUGUGUAACCUGCUCUUGACUUUCGGAUAACUUCAGGUAACUAGGGUUAAUAUCGGAUAGGAUCUCCUGCUGCAUGGAGGGGGUUGGAAAUUUUCGGCUGUUGGGGCUGGUUUGGCGGCUUAUCAGCUUGUUGGUUGGGUAGUGGCUUACCAAGGCUUUGCCCGAUAGCCGGCCCGAGAGGGUGAACGGCCACAAGGGGACUGAGGAACGGCCCAGAGUCGAACAGGGGGCAGUAGUGGGGAAUAUUGCACAAUGGGCGGAAGCCUGUUGAGGCAACGCCGCGUGCGGGAUGACGGCUUUCGGGUUGUAAACCGCUUUCGCCUGUGACGAAGCGUGAGUGACGGUAAUGGGUGAAGAAGCACCGGCUAACUACGUG